AAAAAGAGAAGAAGAGGAGCUUCAACACUUAACCAGAUCACGAGUUGACCGAAGGAGCUGCUCGGAGAUGAAGCUAACCAAAGCUUACGUUGAUUGGAGGGUUUGGAAAGCAAAGCUUAUGGAAGCCGUUGGAUCAAGAUGAAGCCCAAAGCGUCUCGUGCAAGUUUCUUCUUCCCUUUUUCCCUCUUUCAUGUUUUUCAAUUGUUUCUGACCCUAUAAAAAGGGUGCUUCUGCG
Molecule: long non-coding RNA, 235 nt
Filed under: Vigna radiata
Lineage: Eukaryota; Viridiplantae; Streptophyta; Magnoliopsida; Fabales; Fabaceae
Description: long non-coding RNA (VRAD_LNC017766)
Source: RNAcentral